CCCCACUAGGCGAUCAGAUAGGCACAUCCUUAAAAACAAAAUACGGCAUGAUACAAUAUAUAUCACAUAAAAAUAUACUUAGGGCAUUGCCCUUAUUUAAAAAGAAAGUCCACCUCGUUCGCUAAAUAUUCUUAACUUGAAAAUUCUCACUUCGUCUUACUUGCUUGCGAAAGAAAACCCUUUUGAAAUAAAAUAAUAAACUCAUCAAACUCAAGAAAAUAUAUAAUUAAAUUAAAAUGCAUGUACCCUACGUGACUGCUCGUUUAAUUCUCUAACUCAUUCUAAAGGAAAUUUCUAAAUUCUCUUAUAUUAAACUCGGGUCAGCAUCCACACCAAAACUACUUAAUUCACUAGCAUAAACUGAUUUAGUUAACCCAUAAAACAAAAAUUUCCAAGCCAUCAAUAGAGAUACCCCACUCUGCCGACCCAAACUCAAAAUUAAAAAGCUGGCCCAAAGUAGAAAACACAUCUCAAAAUAUUUAAGGCCCAAUACUUAAAAAUAAUGGUCCAAACCUAUACUAAACUCUCGUCACCAUCAUCACCUACCAAACCAAAAGUAAAAAGAUGAAAGUAUGUUUCUAUUUUCUGCCUCCGUUUCUAUUUUCUCUUCUCAAUUUGAUGUCUCAAACGUCAAAACCGGAGCUACAAAUCCCAAAUUUAGAAGUACAGAUCAUGACUCCAACUUCCUCUCUCUUGGUCUCGAAAGCUUUCUCCGGCGAAAAUUGGCGCCACCUCACGUCCCUCCGUCGAAGACCAGCCGCUGCUUCUGCCAUCGACGCUACGCUACUGCCUCUGGCCGCCGUUAUUCGCUGCCGCUCCAGGCGGUCAGCUCUUCCGUCGGCAGCGUCUCGUCUCACAACCGGAAUUCAAGGCUGGGAAUUGAUCGGUGAUUACCUUCUUAGGCGGCGGAAAACUCUCUUCUCCAACUCGGUUCUUUCUCUAAAUUUUAGUUCCCUAUUUUUCUUGGUAUUGAAUUUAUGUGUAGAAAGAUUGUGGGAUUGAUUGGAAUAUAUAUUACUAUGGGUGUGUAUCUAUAAAGAUUGGAUAUAUAUGUCUCCAUGGAAAAGAUUUGAAUGGAAUAUUUGAGCAGAUUUGAGCA
Long non-coding RNA from Salvia splendens (bonfire salvia), 1099 nucleotides. RefSeq lists it as uncharacterized. NCBI's taxonomy places the organism in Eukaryota, Viridiplantae, Streptophyta, Magnoliopsida, Lamiales, Lamiaceae. The transcript is spliced from 2 exons. The record is from RefSeq and is a predicted model, not a curated record.